Molecule: ribosomal RNA, 258 nt
Filed under: uncultured bacterium
Lineage: Bacteria
Description: partial 16S ribosomal RNA
Rfam family: Bacterial small subunit ribosomal RNA
Source: RNAcentral
UACGUAGGGUGCGAGCGUUGUCCGGAAUUAUUGGGCGUAAAGAGCUUGUAGGCGGUUUGUCGCGUCUGCUGUCGAAAAUCCGGGGCUCAACCCCGGACCUGCAUUCGAUACGGGCAGACUAGAGUUCGGUAGGGGAGUCGUGGAAUUCCUGGUGUAGCGGUGAAAUGCGCAGAGAUCGGGAGGAACACCAGUGGCGAAGGCGGCUACCUGGACCAGCACUGACCACUGAGGCACGAAAGCGUGGGGGAGCAAACAGGA